RNAcentral lists this ribosomal RNA (503 nucleotides) under uncultured eukaryote. Its description in RNAcentral is "bacterial SSU rRNA". It matches the Rfam family "Eukaryotic small subunit ribosomal RNA", at positions 21 to 549 of the family's 1831-position model. The record is from RNAcentral.
UAGUCAUAUGCUUGUCCUAAAGAUUAAGCCAUGCAUGUCCAAGUAUAAACCUUUAUACGGUGAAACUGCGAAUGGCUCAUUAUAUCAGUUAUAAUUUACAUGAUGAUGACUUGCUACAUGGAUAACCGUGGUAAUUCUAGAGCUAAUACAUGCAAAGGGCCCGCAAGGGUGGCAUUUAUUAGAUGGAACCAGCGAAAGAUGGUGAAUCAUGAUAACUGAGCGGAUCGCAUGGCCUCGAGCUGGCGACGCUUCAUUCAAAUUUCUGCCCUAUCAACUUUGGAUGGUAGGAUAGAGGCCUACCAUGGUGGUGACGGGUGACGGGGAAUUGGGGUUCGAUUCCGGAGAGGGAGCCUGAGAGAUGGCUACCACUUCCAAGGAAGGCAGCAGGCGCGCAAAUUACCCAAUCCCGACACGGGGAGGUAGUGACAGUAAAUAACGAUGCGGGGCCGUAUGGUCUUGCAAUUGGAAUGAGAGGAAUGUAAAUGCGUUAGCGAGUAACGAUU